This 459-nucleotide ribosomal RNA is filed under the name uncultured archaeon. Its description in RNAcentral is "bacterial SSU rRNA". It matches the Rfam family "Archaeal small subunit ribosomal RNA", at positions 364 to 823 of the family's 1478-position model. The record is from RNAcentral.
ACAGCGAUAAGGGAACCUCGAGUGCCAGGUUACAAAUCUGGCUGUCGAGAUGCCUAAAAAGCAUUUCAUAGCAAGGGCCGGGCAAGACCGGUGCCAGCCGCCGCGGUAACACCGGCGGCUCGAGUGGUAACCGUUAUUAUUGGGUCUAAAGGGUCUGUAGCCGGCCGGAUAAGUCUCUUGAGAAAUCUGGCAGCUUAACUGUCAGGCUUUCAGGAGAUACUGUCUGGCUCGAGGCCGGGAGAGGUGAGAGGUACUUCAGGGGUAGGGGUGAAAUCUUGUAAUCCUUGAAGGACCACCAGUGGCGAAGGCGUCUCACCAGAACGGACCUGACGGCAAGGGACGAAAGCUAGGGGCACGAACCGGAUUAGAUACCCGGGUAGUCCUAGCCGUAAACGAUACUCGCUAGGUGUCGGCCACGGUGCGACCGUUGUCGGUGCCGUAGGGAAGCCGUGAAGCGAG